Hemicordylus capensis (graceful crag lizard) is the source of this 430-nucleotide long non-coding RNA. RefSeq lists it as uncharacterized. Lineage: Eukaryota; Metazoa; Chordata; Lepidosauria; Squamata; Cordylidae. The record is from RefSeq and is a predicted model, not a curated record. The transcript is spliced from 3 exons.
GGGAAAUACAGUUAGAAAACAAGAGCGUACUUCGUAGCAGGAGUCCAAUACAAUCAGGCAACAGGAAGGAAUGCAUCAGAACAUAGUGCUAAAACAGGCAAUGGUGCAGAUUGGGCCCAGAGGCAGAGGACAAACAAAUAAGCAGGAGCAUCAAAGGCAGGGAACGGUGAACACAAAAAGUGGGGGGCACUCAAAGAGCCUCCCCAAACCUGAAACUAGCACCAAACAAACUUAUAGGGCGUUACAGGCAUGGUUUCCUGAGGCUUACAAGAAUUACAGACUGAAUCCCACGACUCUGUAGAUAAAAUUUCCAACAUGAGGGAAACUUCUCCCAGGCUGGCCUCUUUCCUGCAGCCUCUAGAGAACCUCAGAGCAAUCUGCUCCUCAGGACGGAGGCUUUAGUUCACUGGUGGAGAAGGCCCCAAGUUCA